This 21-nucleotide microRNA is filed under the name Bombyx mori (domestic silkworm). Its description in RNAcentral is "bmo-miR-7-3p". Its record names the gene bmo-miR-7-3p. The record is from miRBase by way of RNAcentral. Lineage: Eukaryota; Metazoa; Arthropoda; Insecta; Lepidoptera; Bombycidae.
AAGAAAUCACUAAUCUGCCUA